Molecule: long non-coding RNA, 1306 nt
Filed under: Ananas comosus (pineapple)
Lineage: Eukaryota; Viridiplantae; Streptophyta; Magnoliopsida; Poales; Bromeliaceae
Description: long non-coding RNA (ACOM_LNC030890)
Source: RNAcentral
AUAUCGUUGUCGAUGCUUCCUCUGCGGUUCUCGUUAUGAUGUUUUUAAUUGAUCGGGCUUGCAAAUGGAACUUAGAGCUGCUGCCGAUUAUAACUCCCGAUGCUACUCUAUAAGGUAAAAACAGCAUCUAGUUAUUAAAUUGUACUGUAGUGGUUGUUUUGUGCUUAGUAGUGUUCGUUUGGCUUGUUCUUUUGGAACAACGUCUCUACUCUAAUAAGCACUAGCUAGACAUUUGGUAAGCAAAAACUCUGGAGCUUUCACUUUGCGGAAAACUGGAAUGAGAUUCCAGGCUCCCAAAAAGCAAAAGUUUCAGUUGGACCCUUUUGCUUAGCUGCUAUUAGUGCUUCUUCAUAUUGUUCCUCUUGAACAACACUUUACAGAAGCUCCAGGAGACCAAAUAAGCCCUUAAUUCAUAGAUUCUUAUUUGAGAUAAAAAACAAAAAACAUGCUUACAUGACUAUGAAUGUGAAGAAAAGGCCCAAAAUAAUGGGCCAAAGGAAGUCUCUUUCGGAGCGAGAGGCUCUCUCAUUCUGUUUUCUUUUCCUUCUGAAGCAAAUUCUUGUAACAAGUAGAAAUCCAGAGAAAGUAAUACCUCCAACAAACCACAGUGCUGCAAUAAUGUAUCCAAUUCUUCCGGUAAAUAUUGUAGACUGGGAUAUGAAAAUGAAAUAAAGGGUCAGUUUCCCAUAUUUUUAUUCGUAUCGUAUCCUUUCCUUCACAUGUAGGUCUUAAUUCUUUUCGACAGUUUUAACUUCUCUGCAUUUGAAUCAGGUUAAAAAAAAAAAAAAACAAUUUAAGACGUCGUAAAAGGUAGUGAUUUUUUAUUGGGGGGCAUCUUAUAAGAUAGUGACUAAAGGGAAGCAAAUGAAGUGCGAGUAUGUGAAGUGUUCAGUUUCGCCAUGUUAAAACUAAACCAUCAUUUAUGACAAUGUUAUGCAUCAUUGUUGAAAGAUUAAAAACAUGCCACUCGGCUAUUUUUGGAAUAAAUGAUAGGGUGCUAAUACUAUUUAUGCUUUGAUUUACUUUGUUUAGCUCCCUGUUUGAUCUUGUAUAUGUUCAAAUCCUCACAUUUGGUGUAACAACUACUGAUACUUAUGUGUUUUUCGCAUCCAAUGCAGAGCAUUAUGAGGAGGAUGCUGGGGAAAAGCAAAGAUGGGGGAACUUACACUCCAGUAGUGCUUGUUGGUAAUGUUAUAUCCUCCUCUGUACUUCUUGAAAUCAUCCAAAGGAUCAACUCUCUGUGUUCUAAUAAGCAAACUAUUCGCUGAUUCCGAAUCAUUUUCCAUUUCCAUCAGAAUCUUGUCUA